AUAAAAACAUAAUAAAAAUUACAUGAAACUAACCCUUGUUAUUUGUUUUGCACGAAUAUAAUUGAAAAAAGAUUAAAAAAAGACUGCAUGGUAGUGGUAGUGUCCACUACGAAACGUUUUUCUCCCAUACUUGUUUCGUAGGGGACCGUUUCGUAGGGGACGUAUUCGCAUGUUUUAUUUUUUCCCCCACAAUCUCUAUAUUGCAAUAGUAACAAGACUGAUUGAAUUCAUCAAAGCAUUUAUUAAGCUGUACACUGAUAUUUUUUUUCAUAAUUUUAAAACCAGAUACUGAAGGAGAUUUGACCCGUUUCGUAGUGGACAUUAACAAAAAUACGGUAUCACUCUGGUCCAUUUGAUGUGCUCAAUUUUUC
This 371-nucleotide long non-coding RNA is filed under the name Mytilus galloprovincialis (Mediterranean mussel). The record is from RNAcentral. Lineage: Eukaryota; Metazoa; Mollusca; Bivalvia; Mytilida; Mytilidae.